Non-coding RNA from Lactuca sativa (garden lettuce), 844 nucleotides. NCBI's taxonomy places the organism in Eukaryota, Viridiplantae, Streptophyta, Magnoliopsida, Asterales, Asteraceae. The record is from RefSeq and is a predicted model, not a curated record.
UGCAGUUUUGUAGGAGCAUUAUGUUUUUGAAGAAGUCGGUAUCAAGAAUCAAAGGCGUUAGUUUGGAGGGUCGAAAACUGAUCGAAGAAAACUGCAAAAGUCCAUAUUUUUGUAGUCAAGUCAACUCCCAUUAAAAGUUAAAACCAGUUGUCCAUCAUCGUUUGCACAAUUAAUAGUCUUCUUUAAUAUUUCUCCUUCUCAAUCAAUCAAUGGCGUCUCGAAGUUUCAUCUUAUGGCUACACGGUCUUCACUUCGCCAACACUCGUUGGUCUUUCCCUUCUGCUCCACCUCAACCUGUUACCUGUAACCCUAAGUCCCAAUCACUAAUCAACUAACGCAUCCUUUGAUUUGUUUCUUUUCGAUUAUUGAUCAUAUGUGCAUCUAACGCAUAUAUAUUUGUCUGAUUUAGGCUUUCGAUCGUUUUUCUUGCUCUCAUUGUAAAUUCCAAAUUAUAAUUUCUUGUUUCUGUUAGUGCCUGAUCAUAGGUAUAUCCUGAUCUUGGCCAUUCAAUAAGUGAUGAGGAGCUUCAACACAUGGAAUCAUGGAUCAUAUCCCGUCUACAAAGUGAAAGUUCUGCCUGAAGAUUUGACUAUCAUUGACUUUUCACUUGUAUACAUCCCUAUAUAGAUGCUUAAAAUUAUAUAACCACAUUAUAUUUGUAAUUUUUUUUAAAAAAAACUUAACAAUAUGUAUACAUAUAAGUUUAUGUUGUAUCAUGUAUGCUGGUUGAUAAAUGUUAUACCUUUUACUAAAAAAAGGGAUACAUUAUUGUUUUUGCAUAUUAAAAUUUGAUGUAUACAUCAUACUCAAUCGUUGUAUUAAAAGCAUCUCCGUUGAAGUUUUU